AUCCUAGUAGCUCGAUGGUUAGAGUUUCAGCCUCCAACUCUAAGGUACCGGGUUCGAAUCCCGACAAUGACA
Molecule: transfer RNA, 72 nt
Filed under: Sphenostylis stenocarpa
Lineage: Eukaryota; Viridiplantae; Streptophyta; Magnoliopsida; Fabales; Fabaceae
Description: tRNA gene-AYBTSS11_LOCUS27553
Source: RNAcentral